Molecule: ribosomal RNA, 460 nt
Filed under: uncultured bacterium
Lineage: Bacteria
Description: partial 16S ribosomal RNA
Rfam family: Bacterial small subunit ribosomal RNA
Source: RNAcentral
CCUACGGGAGGCAGCAGUGAGGAAUAUUGGUCAAUGGACGUGCGUCUGAACCAGCCAAGUAGCGUGAAGGAUGACUGCCCUAUGGGUUGUAAACUUCUUUUAUAAAGGAAUAAAACGAGGCACGUGUGCCUGGAUGCAUGUACUUUAUGAAUAAGGAUCGGCUAACCCCGGGCCAGCUGCCGCGGUAAUACGGAGGAUCCGAACGUUGUCCGGAUUUAUUGGGUUUAAAGGGAGCGUAGAUGGGUUGGUAAGUCAGGUGUGAAAGUUUGCGGCUCAACCGUAAAAUUGCAAUUGAUACUGGCAGUCUUGAGUACAGUUGAGGUAAGCGGAAUUCGUGGUGUAGCGGUGAAAUGCUUAGAUAUCACGAAGAACCCCGAUUGCGAAGGCAGCUUACUAAACUCUGACUGACAUUGAUGCUCGAAAGUGUGGGUAUCAAACAGGAUUAGAUACCCUAGUAGUC